GCUCUAUUCAAAUUCAACAAAUAGAAUAUUUAUCUGUGUGUGCGUGCUCUAUAUACAAUCAAAUAUACAUACAUUUACAUUAGUGUUACAUAUACACGUGAGCCAAAACGAACAGAGAUUCAAAUCGUGUAACCGUAACCAAUAACGUCACUCCAACUGUAACGGUCAGCAACGCUGUCAUCGCCGCACUCGCGCCUCUCUCUUUCACGAAGAAAGAUAACAGCAAAAAAGAAAGAAACGCGGUGUAACGGUUGGCUCGUUAUAUGUUAGGCGCGUCUAUCGUUAUUUCGCGAAUAUUCGGCGUUCGUCGUCCUUGUUUAUUGGCCGUGGUGUAAGCGAUUUUCCUCGCUCUUUUUAUCCAUCACUUGUGUUCGUCUUUGCUAUCGUCUACGUGUUUUGAGGAAAGUAAAAUAGCGCAAAUCGCGAACUGCUUGUUGAAAAAUCGGAUAAUAAUUAAAGCACGACUUAUCGCUUAAUUUACCAGCAUUAAAUAGGGCAAACAUUUAGAACAGAGGACGCAGUGAGA
Long non-coding RNA from Drosophila hydei, 526 nucleotides. RefSeq lists it as uncharacterized. The transcript has 2 exons. NCBI's taxonomy places the organism in Eukaryota, Metazoa, Arthropoda, Insecta, Diptera, Drosophilidae. The record is from RefSeq and is a predicted model, not a curated record.